RNAcentral lists this ribosomal RNA (468 nucleotides) under uncultured bacterium. RNAcentral describes it as "partial 16S ribosomal RNA". It matches the Rfam family "Bacterial small subunit ribosomal RNA", at positions 28 to 507 of the family's 1533-position model. The record is from RNAcentral.
GACGAACGCUGGCGGCGUGCUUAACACAUGCAAGUCGAACGGAAAGGCCCUGCUUUUGUGGGGUGCUCGAGUGGCGAACGGGUGAGUAACACGUGAGUAACCUGCCCCUGACUUUGGGAUAACUUCAGGAAACUGGGGCUAAUACCGGAUAGGAUCUCCUGCUGCAUGGUGGGGGUUGGAAAGUUUCGGCGGUUGGGGAUGGACUCGCGGCUUAUCAGCUUGUUGGUGGGGUAGUGGCUUACCAAGGCUUUGACGGGUAGCCGGCCUGAGAGGGUGACCGGCCACAUUGGGACUGAGAUACGGCCCAGACUCCUACGGGAGGCAGCAGUGGGGAAUAUUGCACAAUGGGCGGACGCCUGAUGCAGCAACGCCGCGUGCGGGAUGACGGCCUUCGGGUUGUAAACCGCUUUCGCCUGUGACGAAGCGUGAGUGACGGUAAUGGGUAAAGAAGCACCGGCUAACUACGUG